RNAcentral lists this ribosomal RNA (212 nucleotides) under uncultured Staphylococcus sp. Its description in RNAcentral is "partial 16S ribosomal RNA". It matches the Rfam family "Bacterial small subunit ribosomal RNA", at positions 128 to 334 of the family's 1533-position model. Lineage: Bacteria; Bacillati; Bacillota; Bacilli; Caryophanales; Staphylococcaceae. The record is from RNAcentral.
ACCUAUAAGACUGGGAUAACUUCGGGAAACCGGAGCUAAUACCGGAUAAUAUUUUGAACCGCAUGGUUCAAAAGUAAAAGACGGUCUUGCUGUCACUUAUAGAUGGAUACGCGCUGCAUUAGCUAGUUGGUAAGGUAACGGCUUACCAAGGCAACGAUGCAUAGCCGACCUGAGAGGGUGAUCGGCCACACUGGAACUGAGACACGGUCCAG